RNAcentral lists this ribosomal RNA (256 nucleotides) under uncultured bacterium. Its description in RNAcentral is "partial 16S ribosomal RNA". It matches the Rfam family "Bacterial small subunit ribosomal RNA", at positions 524 to 776 of the family's 1533-position model. The record is from RNAcentral.
UACGAAGGGGGGCUAGCGUUGUUCGGAUUUACUGGGCGUAAAGCGCACGUAGGCGGAUCGUUAAGUGAGGGGUGAAAUCCCAGGGGCUCAACCCCUGGAACUGCCUUUCAUACUGGCGAUCUUGAGUCCGGAAGAGGUGAGUGGAACUCCUAGUGUAGAGGUGGAAUUCGUAGAUAUUAGGAAGAACACCAGUGGCGAAGGCGGCUCACUGGUCCGGUACUGACGCUGAGGUGCGAAAGCGUGGGGAGCAAACAGG